GACGAACGCUUUUGGCGCGCCUAACACAUGCAAGUCGAACGAGCGAAAGAGAGCUUGCUUUCUCGAGCGAGUGGCGAACGGGUGAGUAACGCGUGAGGAAUCUGCCUCAAAGAGGGGGACAACAGUUGGAAACGACUGCUAAUACCGCAUAAGCCCACGGUGCCGCAUGGCACAGAGGGAAAAGGAGUAAUCCGCUUUGAGAUGGCCUCGCGUCCGAUUAGCUAGUUGGUGAGGUAACGGCCCACCAAGGCGACGAUCGGUAGCCGGACUGAGAGGUUGAACGGCCACAUUGGGACUGAGACACGGCCCAGACUCCUACGGGAGGCAGCAGUGGGGAAUAUUGCACAAUGGGGGAAACCCUGAUGCAGCGACGCCGCGUGGAGGAAGAAGGUCUUCGGAUUGUAAACUCCUGUUGUUGGGGAAGAUAAUGACGGUACCCAACAAGGAAGUGACGGCUAACUACGUGCCAGCAGCCGCGGUAAAACGUAGGUCACAAGCGUUGUCCGGAAUUACUGGGUGUAAAGGGAGCGCAGGCGGGAAGACAAGUUGGAAGUGAAAUCUAUGGGCUCAACCCAUAAACUGCUUUCAAAACUGUUUUUCUUGAGUAGUGCAGAGGUAGGCGGAAUUCCCGGUGUAGCGGUGGAAUGCGUAGAUAUCGGGAGGAACACCAGUGGCGAAGGCGGCCUACUGGGCACCAACUGACGCUGAGGCUCGAAAGUGUGGGUAGCAAACAGGAUUAGAUACCCUGGUAGUCCACACCGUAAACGAUGAUUACUAGGUGUUGGAGGAUUGACCCCUUCAGUGCCGCAGUUAACACAAUAAGUAAUCCACCUGGGGAGUACGACCGCAAGGUUGAAACUCAAAGGAAUUGACGGGGGCCCGCACAAGCAGUGGAGUAUGUGGUUUAAUUCGACGCAACGCGAAGAACCUUACCAAGUCUUGACAUCCCUUGACAGACAUAGAAAUAUGUAAUCUCUUCGGAGCAAGGAGACAGGUGGUGCAUGGUUGUCGUCAGCUCGUGUCGUGAGAUGUUGGGUUAAGUCCCGCAACGAGCGCAACCCUUAUGGUCAGUUACUACGCAAGAGGACUCUGGCCAGACUGCCGUUGACAAAACGGAGGAAGGUGGGGAUGACGUCAAAUCAUCAUGCCCUUUAUGACUUGGGCUACACACGUACUACAAUGGCGUUAAACAAAGAGAAGCAAGACCGCGAGGUGGAGCAAAACUCAGAAACAACGUCCCAGUUCGGACUGCAGGCUGCAACUCGCCUGCACGAAGUCGGAAUUGCUAGUAAUCGUGGAUCAGCAUGCCACGGUGAAUACGUUCCCGGGCCUUGUACU
Molecule: ribosomal RNA, 1338 nt
Filed under: uncultured bacterium
Lineage: Bacteria
Description: bacterial SSU rRNA
Rfam family: Bacterial small subunit ribosomal RNA
Source: RNAcentral